AGUGAACGCUGGCGGUAGGCCUAACACAUGCAAGUCGAACGGCAGCACAGUAAGAGCUUGCUCUUACGGGUGGCGAGUGGCGGACGGGUGAGGAAUACAUCGGUAUCUACUUUUUCGUGGGGGAUAACGUAGGGAAACUUACGCUAAUACCGCAUACGACCUACGGGUGAAAGCAGGGGAUCUUCGGACCUUGCGCGAUUGAAUGAGCCGAUGUCGGAUUAGCUAGUUGGCGGGGUAAAGGCCCACCAAGGCGACGAUCCGUAGCUGGUCUGAGAGGGUGAUCAGCCACACUGGAACUGAGACACGGUCCAGACUCCUACGGGAGGCAGCAGUGGGGAAUAUUGGACAAUGGGCGCAAGCCUGAUCCAGCCAUACCGCGUGGGUGAAGAAGGCCUUCGGGUUGUAAAGCCCUUUUGUUGGGAAAGAAAAGCAGCAGGUUAAUACCCCGCUGUUCUGACGGUACCCAAAGAAUAAGCACCGGCUAACUUCGUG
This 492-nucleotide ribosomal RNA is filed under the name uncultured bacterium. Its description in RNAcentral is "partial 16S ribosomal RNA". It matches the Rfam family "Bacterial small subunit ribosomal RNA", at positions 29 to 507 of the family's 1533-position model. The record is from RNAcentral.